GUGGUAAUAGCUCAGUUGAAACGGCUGAAGGAGAGCGUUAGACUGAAGAUCUAAAUGUCCCUAGUUCAAUUCCACUUUGACGCCUGGGUUACCAC
Molecule: transfer RNA, 95 nt
Filed under: Cryptomonas paramaecium
Lineage: Eukaryota; Cryptophyceae; Cryptomonadales; Cryptomonadaceae
Description: Cryptomonas paramecium tRNA-Phe
Source: RNAcentral